UACAGGGGGGGCAAGCGUUGUUCGGAAUUACUGGGCGUAAAGGGCUCGUAGGCGGCCAACUAAGUCACACGUGAAAUCCCCAGGCUUAACCUGGGAACUGCGUGUGAUACUGGAUGGCUUGAAUCCGGGAGAGGGAUGCGGAAUUCCAGGUGUAGCGGUGAAAUGCGUAGAUAUCUGGAGGAAUACCGGUGGCGAAGGCGGCAUCCUGGACCGACAUUGACGCUGAGGAGCGAAAGCCAGGGGAGCAAACGGG
This 253-nucleotide ribosomal RNA is filed under the name uncultured bacterium. RNAcentral's name for it is "partial 16S ribosomal RNA". It matches the Rfam family "Bacterial small subunit ribosomal RNA", at positions 524 to 776 of the family's 1533-position model. The record is from RNAcentral.